AGAGUUUGAUCAUGGCUCAGAUUGAACGCUGGCGGCAGGCCUAACACAUGCAAGUCGAGCGCGAAAAGCCUUCGGGCUGAGUAAAGCGGCGGACGGGUGAGUAACGCGUAGGAAUCUACCUGGUAGUGGGGGACAACUUGGGGAAACUCAAGCUAAUACCGCAUACGCCCUAAGGGGGAAAGCGGGGGACCUUCGGGCCUCGCGCUAUCGGAUGAGCCUGCGUAGGAUUAGCUAGUUGGUGGGGUAAAGGCCCACCAAGGCGACGAUCCUUAGCUGGUCUGAGAGGAUGAUCAGCCACACUGGAACUGAGACACGGUCCAGACUCCUACGGGAGGCAGCAGUGGGGAAUAUUGCGCAAUGGGCGAAAGCCUGACGCAGCCAUGCCGCGUGUGUGAAGAAGGCCUUAGGGUUGUAAAGCACUUUCAAUUGGGAAGAAAAGUUUGUCGUUAAUAGCGCCAAGCUCUGACAUUACCUUUAGAAGAAGCACCGGCUAACUCCGUGCCAGCAGCCGCGGUAAUACGGAGGGUGCGAGCGUUAAUCGGAAUUACUGGGCGUAAAGCGCGCGUAGGCGGUUUGUUAAGUCAGCUGUGAAAGCCCCGGGCUCAACCUGGGAACUGCAGUUGAUACUGGCCGACUAGAGUACGAGAGAGGGAGGUAGAAUUCCAUGUGUAGCGGUGAAAUGCGUAGAUAUAUGGAGGAAUACCAGUGGCGAAGGCGGCCUCCUGGCUCGAUACUGACGCUGAGGUGCGAAAGUGUGGGGAGCAAACAGGAUUAGAUACCCUGGUAGUCCACGCCGUAAACGAUGUCUACUAGCCGUUGGGAGACUUGAUCUCUUAGUGGCGCAGCUAACGCAAUAAGU
RNAcentral lists this ribosomal RNA (859 nucleotides) under marine metagenome. Its description in RNAcentral is "bacterial SSU rRNA". It matches the Rfam family "Bacterial small subunit ribosomal RNA", at positions 8 to 865 of the family's 1533-position model. The record is from RNAcentral.